AUGAUCCCAAAGACUGGUUCCCCAGAAAAGGAGAUAAUGCUAAAAUUGGGUUUCAAAGAAAAGUGGGUAGAUUUAGUUAUGCAAUGUGUAUCUUCUGUGAAGUACCGGGUUCGUUUUAAUAAUGAAGAGACUGAGAGUUUUAAACCUACUAGAGAGGGGCUGACCGCUCUACUAGCUAAUGCAGAGGAGAAUGAUAAUAUUUCUGGAGUUAAGGGGGUUCGGCCGGCCCGUCUCGUCCGCCUCCGGGGGAGCGAUCGGUCGGGAUCAGGAUCCCGUCGAGCUGUUCGGUUUUACUUUCCGCGUCUGGUUUCGGGUGAUCCUCCGUUGGCCAUAGCAAGGUCAGUUUCCUCUCUGCGUUCGUCGGUGAUUUCAGAUUCGAAUCGAAUUGAAUUGAGCGUCUAUCGCCCGUACGGCCUUCUGCCUCUGUGUUCCCCGAUCAAGCGCUCUCGUCACCAGUUAAUACGAUUACGAGGUGGAUUCCAGGGCCUCGUGGAUUCUUGUUGUGCCGCUGAUCUAGCUUUCGGUGUAUGCGCUCUCAUCCUAGAUGCAACCAAGUGGGCGAGCGCUAGUUGUGGGGAGAUGAUAUUGGAUAUAGAUCAAGGGUGGAGGUUUUUUGCUUCUGCCCUCCAUGUCCUUGCAGAUUUGUUUUGGCCUAAGACAAUGCUGCUAGAAGUCUGGCCCUACAUGCAGACCUGUUAUUCGUGUGUUGGCUUCCAUGGGUUGGCUGCAGGACUGGAUCUAGUAUGUGGAGACCCCUGGGGUGUUGUAUGUCAAGGGGAUGUGAGUCAGAUGCAGCAGAAGCAAGAGGGUAGUGGUUCCGCAGAGAUGUGGAGGUUUGGUUUCUUACACAUGGCAAUAUUUUAUAAUACAGAUUCAUAUGCAAAGGUGCAUGAAUCUAAGGAUAAUCCGAAGCUUUCGACUAAUGGCGCAUCCUACAACCGAGAAAGACUCUUGCCUAGGUUUUUGCUCCUGCCCUUCCUGUGGAUGCAGAUCUUUUUUAGCCCAGAGCAUGUGGGUAAUGACGCGGAGUCUGUUCUAAUAUUUUGUCUAGAUGGGACAUCCUACAACCUAAAAUACUUGGUGCACUCCACAACCGAAAAUUAUCUUAUGCUGAGUUAUCUCCUGAAGAAACUACUGUUGUCUUGGCUGCCUUUGCUUGUAGCAUUGAUCAAGCCAUGCUGUAUAUCUUGGUGGGUGUGCCCUGUAGAGUCAGAUACAAGACAGCGGAGAUCGUAUUGAAGGGUAAAGGUUUGGGUGAUUCAUGGAUGUUCUUUAGCUCUUCUGAUUAUAUCUUAAGUUUGGGAUUGGAAUUGUUGGUCAUGCCUGCAUGGUUGAGGAUUCAUAAGUGUCUUGAGGCGUGACUGGACUGUUUAGAUAUAUUCUCCUCUGAUUUCUCCAUGUGAGCAGUUUGGUUUCUGUUCUGAGUAUUAUUUGGAUUUUUUGUUGUUCUCCAGCAUUUGAGCGUAGACUUGACCAUUUUUAUUGGAAUGGUGCAGAGCUCUAGGAGAUUCUUCGUGAUUCGAUCUUGUCAAACUUCUCUCUGUUAACUUUUAACAUUCCAAACAUUGUUCUUUCUUGUCAGUAACUCUUAGUUCUAUGCAGAUAUGACAUACAAUGAGGAUAAUCAAACCAAUGUGCAUAACUUCACUAAACCAGGCUUAUCCCCGUCUCCCUUGCUAUAUUUGAUGUGAACAGCUUUCUCCAAAAUGGUUAGGCAUCAUGGUCUUUUGUUCAUUGCAGGUGUACUUCACAAUCUUACAGAAGAAGUCUGAUGUCAUGCUGCGUGAAAAUUUGUUUGGAGACCUUCUGACUUCACAUUUUCUAUUUAGUUAGCUAGAAACCCAGUUAGCUGUUAAGUUUGGUAUUCAAACUGAUCCGCGGAGGUGAAGAGUUCUAAAAGCUUGUUUGGGGAACUUCGUUCUGGAUAGAGGAGUCUUCUACAACCACAAACUUAUACCUAUGCUGCAUCCUUGUUUCGACUCAUUGUCCAGUUCUAAUUAUGGUCUAACUUUCCUUGAAGAAACUUCUAAGUAUGCCAAUUAUAUUUGGUCUGUUCAUUAAUCGGCACUGUUGGAGGUUUUAUUGGAAUAUUGUAGAGUUGGAAAGUCUAGCAAAACGUCAGUUGGUGUGGGGACUUAGUGAAGCCCGGGCGGUUUUAACUUCUGAUUAAUCCUGAUCCUGAAGCAUAUUACUUGAUUUGGUAUUUGUGGCAGCUUUCAGUUUGAACUUGCAUUCAGUGAUAGUUUGGAGUUAGUAGUGUGCACAUCUGAUUCUGCCAACUGUCCUGAAGCAUCUUAUCAUGACAUCCUACUGGUUACAACAUCUGCUUCAGCUUGCAUGUGGUUUGGAAUAUGAUCUCAGCUUUUUCUCCGAAUCAACAAAAUGCUAGAAGUAAUGAUGUCCUAACUGGAAGUUCCUUUAGUCUCAAACAAGGGUUCAACAAUGGAAAUACCAGUUCAUAGCAGAUUAUCAAACUUUGAUUUGGCUAUAGAUUACUACUUGGUUGACAUACUAUUUCCAGAAGUUGGGUUUUAAUAUUAGGCUGGUUGUAUCUAUAAUUUUAUCUCUAGCAGUAAUAUUUUUAGCUUGCAAAUUUAUAUCACCUAAUACAUGUACAUGAGCUCUGAAUGCAGUAAAAGAUUUGUCAGUCUACUAUUCUACAUUUUCUUGUCCGCACUUGGUUUGUUCAUUUAACUAUUUUCCUGGUGAGUUAUUUAGGAUCAUCUUAUGUCACACAAUCAGUUUCUGAUUUGCACAGAUCUUUAACUAAAAUGAUAAAGAAAGAUCCCAUCUAGUUGUUUGCUGGCUCUCUCAAUUGACUUGUGGUUGGGUAACUUUGAUGUCUUGAUAUGCAGAAAGAGGCUAAGGAAUUAUUGCCAUAUACUAAAACAAUGGAGAGUUGAAGCUUCUGAACUGGAAGCUUGAACAAAUAGUUUGCCCUGAACACUCUACUCGUGAUGUCUUAGAUUACUGUCAUCUCCACUAAUUAUGAUUCCGGUUUGGUGGUAUAGAAUUGAUUUUCAGAAAAUGAUGUUCUUCUCAUUGGUGCUUCUCCAGUGGGAUCUGGAUUACAUAUCUUGAAUUCAAUACAUCUUCUCGGUUUGCUGGAGAACUCCUAGUUUUAAUUUGACAACUAGCAAAACAGUCUGGCUAAUUUGAUGAUUCCUGCUGAUUGUACUUUUAACUCAAGUUGCUCUUAUUCCUGGAUUGAAGAAAAAAGGCGUUCGCACAUCUUAACGUUUUCUAAUGGCUAAUUUGAUCUGGUUUAUGGGAUCUUUAAUUACAUGAUCUCGGUUUUCCGGGAGCUCCCUAAUUUCAAUUUCCUUGGCAACUAGCAAAAUUACUAAUUUGACGAUUCCUGCCAAUUGCAUAUCUGACUCCGGCUAUACAUAUGCCACACAGUAUGCAUAGUCCAUGCGUCCUGGAUUUUCA
RNAcentral lists this ribosomal RNA (3432 nucleotides) under Triticum aestivum (bread wheat). RNAcentral describes it as "partial small subunit ribosomal RNA". Lineage: Eukaryota; Viridiplantae; Streptophyta; Magnoliopsida; Poales; Poaceae. The record is from RNAcentral.